UGGUCAAGUUAUUAAGGGUGCAGGGCGGAUGCCUUGGCACUAGGAGCCGAUGAAGGACGUGAUAAGCUGCGAUAAGCUUCGGGGAGUUGCACGUAAACUUUGAUCCGAAGAUUUCCGAAUGAGGAAACUCACUUAGAGUAAUGUCUAAGUAUCAUUAAGUGAAUACAUAGCUUAAUGAGGGGAACUCAGGGAACUGAAACAUCUAAGUACCUGAAGGAAGAGAAAGAAAUUCGAUUCCGUAAGUAGCGGCGAGCGAACGCGGAUUAGCCCAAACCAAUAAAGUUUUCUUUAUUGGGGUUGCGGACAUAUCAUAACGAAGAGGUAUCGUAAUUGAAGAGGUUUGGAAAGACCCACCACAGAAGGUAAUAGUCCUGUAUGUUAAACGAGAAGACUUUAGAUAUGAUCCAGAGUACCACGGGACACGUGAAACCCUGUGGGAAGCAGGAGGGACCACCCUCCAAGGCUAAAUACUACCUAGUGACCGAUAGCGUAUAGUACCGUGAGGGAAAGGUGAAAAGAACCCCGGGAGGGGAGUGAAAUAGAACCUGAAACCCUGCACUUACAAGCUGUGGAAGCACAUUUCUUGUGUGACCGCGUACUUUUUGUAGAACGGGCCAACGAGUUACGUUAAGUAGCAAGGUUAAGCACUUAAGGUGCGGAGCCGUAGCGAAAGCGAGUUUUAACUGAGCGUUCAGUUACUUGACGUAGACCCGAAACCGGGCGACCUACCCAUGAGCAGGAUGAAGCGAAAGUAAAAUUUCGUGGAGGUCCGAACCCACGAGCGUUGAAAAGCUCGGGGAUGACUUGUGGGUAGCGGUGAAAUUCCAAUCGAGCCCGGAGAUAGCUGGUUCUCCCCGAAAUAGCUUUAGGGCUAGCCUCAAGGUGAGAGAUACGGAGGUAGAGCACUGAAUGUCCUAGGGGGUAUUGCACCUACCGAAGACUAUCAAACUCCGAAUGCCGUCAUCUUAUACUUGGGAGUCAGACUGUGGGUGAUAAGAUUCAUAGUCGAAAGGGCAACAGCCCAGAUCGUCAGCUAAGGUCCCUAAAUGUAAGUUAAGUGGUAAAGGAUGUGGGAUUGCACAGACAACCAGGAUGUUGGCUUAGAAGCAGCCACUCAUUCAAAGAGUGCGUAAUAGCUCACUGGUCGAGUGAUCCUGCGCCGAAGAUUUCCGGGGCUAAAACUUACUACCGAAGCUACGGCAUCAGUAAUGAUGGGUAGGGGAGCUUCCCAUACGGGUUGAAGCAUGACCGUAAGGACAUGUGGACAGUAUGGGAGUGAGAAUGUUGGCAUGAGUAGCGAGAUGUGGGUGAGAAUCCCACAGGCCGUAAACCCAAGGUUUCCAGGGGAAGGUUCGUCCGCCCUGGGUUAGUCGGGACCUAAGCUGAGGCCGAAAGGCGUAGGUGAUGGACAACAGGUUGAUAUUCCUGUACUACCGAUAACCGUUUGAGAGAAGGGAUGACACAGUAGGAUAAGCUAAGCACACUGUUGGUUAUGUGUGCCCAAGCAUUGAGGCAGUCAAAGUAGGCAAAUCCGCUUUGAUAAUGCUGGGAUGUGAUGGGGAGCGAAAUUUAGUAGCGAAGUAGCUGAUUUCACACUGUCAAGAAAAGUCUCUAUCGAGGUUAAAGGUACCCGUACCGCAAACCGACACAGGUGGGUGAGGAGAGUAUCCUAAGGCCAGCGAGAGAACUGUUGUUAAGGAACUCGGCAAAAUGACCCCGUAACUUAGGGAUAAGGGGUGCCACCAUCAGGUGGCCGCAGAGAAUAGGCCCAAGCGACUGUUUACCAAAAACAUAGGUUUCUGCUAAGUCGCAAGACGAUGUAUAGGAGCUGACGCCUGCCCGGUGCUGGAAGGUUAAGGGGAUCUGUUAGAGCAAUCGAAGCAGUGAACUUAAGCCCCAGUAAACGGCGGCCGUAACUAUAACGGUCCUAAGGUAGCGAAAUUCCUUGUCGGGUAAGUUCCGACCCGCACGAAAGGCGUAACGAUUUGGGCACUGUCUCAACAACAGACUCGGUGAAAUUGUAAUUCCGGUGAAGAUGCCGGAUACCUGCGACAGGACGGAAAGACCCCAUGGAGCUUUACUGUAGCUUGACAUUGGGUCUUGGUACUACAUGUACAGGAUAGGUGGGAGGCUUUGAAACCAGGACGCCAGUUUUGGCGGAGCCAUCCUUGGGAUACCACCCUUGUAGUACUGGGACUCUAACCAUAGGCCAUGAAUCUGGUCUUGGGACACUGUCAGGUGGGCAGUUUGACUGGGGCGGUCGCCUCCCAAAAGGUAACGGAGGCGCUCAAAGGUUCUCUCAGUACGGUCGGAAAUCGUACGUAGAGUGUAAAGGCAAAAGAGAGCUUGAUUGCAAGACAUACAGGUCGAGCAAGGAUGAAAAUCGGACUUAGUGAUCCGGUGGUUCUGCGUGGAAGGGCCAUCGCUCAACGGAUAAAAGCUACCCUGGGGAUAACAGGCUUAUCUCCCCCAAGAGUCCACAUCGACGGGGAGGUUUGGCACCUCGAUGUCGGCUCAUCACAUCCUGGGGCUGUAGUAGGUCCCAAGGGUUGGGCUGUUCGCCCAUUAAAGUGGUACGCG
This 2580-nucleotide ribosomal RNA is filed under the name Clostridioides difficile. Its description in RNAcentral is "partial 23S ribosomal RNA". It matches the Rfam family "Bacterial large subunit ribosomal RNA", at positions 1 to 2602 of the family's 2925-position model. Lineage: Bacteria; Bacillati; Bacillota; Clostridia; Peptostreptococcales; Peptostreptococcaceae. The record is from RNAcentral.